AAAAAAUAAUGUAAGAAUAUCUGGGU
This 26-nucleotide non-coding RNA is filed under the name Cricetulus griseus (Chinese hamster). The record is from RNAcentral. Lineage: Eukaryota; Metazoa; Chordata; Mammalia; Rodentia; Cricetidae.